GGCCCCCGGCGGGCCGGUGCCGGUGCCUUCCGGUGGCACCGGCGGCCGUACCCGGGCGAUCGCCCUCGCCACGGUGGCCGCC
This 82-nucleotide transfer RNA is filed under the name Streptomyces sp. AVP053U2. RNAcentral's name for it is "tRNA-Arg". The record is from RNAcentral. Lineage: Bacteria; Bacillati; Actinomycetota; Actinomycetes; Kitasatosporales; Streptomycetaceae.